CACCGGGAUAUGUCAUGGAACUUCUUGUUUUGCAGCAGCAAUACAUUGGAAUGUAUAAUCAUAAAAACUGUAAAUUACGAAAUUUCUUCCCUCACUCACAGUGGACAGCAAUCUGUAGUCAGCAAUGGCACAUCCUUCUGCAUUAAAGAUGCCGCCUGAACUGCUGAGAUCCUCCAGCAGCUUGUUCCUUUUUUGGAAAUUCUGUGCUGUUGUUUAAGAAGGAAGUGAAGAACCAAAUUUUCAUAGGUUAGUGAGUGGUAGUUAAAACUCUCAUUUGGGAAGAUGGUUACUGUGCUGUAUCUCUAAAUAAAUAAAUAUUGUCAAGGACAGCAUUGUAAACAAAUUGCAUCUUGUGGUAAACUAUGUCUGGACACGCCCCUCUGCUGAC
This is a long non-coding RNA of Hypanus sabinus (Atlantic stingray), 388 nucleotides long. RefSeq lists it as uncharacterized. The record is from RefSeq and is a predicted model, not a curated record. NCBI's taxonomy places the organism in Eukaryota, Metazoa, Chordata, Chondrichthyes, Myliobatiformes, Dasyatidae. The transcript is spliced from 3 exons.